RNAcentral lists this non-coding RNA (36 nucleotides) under unclassified sequences. Its description in RNAcentral is "DUF805b RNA". It matches the Rfam family "DUF805b RNA". Rfam says of the family: Bacteroidetes, Chlorobi (1 example), Proteobacteria. Lineage (Flavobacteria) The record is from RNAcentral.
AGAGAAGAUGCCGAAAAUCUCAUCAAAGAGUAGGCA